This 104-nucleotide microRNA precursor is filed under the name Marmota monax (woodchuck). Lineage: Eukaryota; Metazoa; Chordata; Mammalia; Rodentia; Sciuridae. The record is from RNAcentral.
AGUUGGAUAGCUGGAUCAUAUAGUAGUUCCAUUUGUAGUUUUUUGAGGAAUCUCCAUAUUGCUUUUCCAAAAUACUUGUACUAAUUUGCAGUCCUACCAGCAAU